This 460-nucleotide ribosomal RNA is filed under the name uncultured bacterium. RNAcentral's name for it is "partial 16S ribosomal RNA". It matches the Rfam family "Bacterial small subunit ribosomal RNA", at positions 338 to 795 of the family's 1533-position model. The record is from RNAcentral.
CCUACGGGAGGCAGCAGUGAGGAAUAUUGGUCAAUGGACGAGAGUCUGAACCAGCCAAGUAGCGUGAAGGAUGACUGCCCUAUGGGUUGUAAACUUCUUUUAUAUGGGAAUAAAAUGUUCCACGUGUGGGAUUUUGUAUGUACCAUGUGAAUAAGGAGCGGCUAACUCCGUGCCAGCAGCCGCGGUAAUACGGAGGAUCCGAGCGUUAUCCGGAUUUAUUGGGUUUAAAGGGAGCGUAGGUGGAUUGUUAAGUCAGUUGUGAAAGUUUGCGGCUCAACCGUAAAAUUGCAGUUGAAACUGGCAGUCUUGAGUACAGUAGAGGUGGGCGGAAUUCGUGGUGUAGCGGUGAAAUGCUUAGAUAUCACGAAGAACUCUGAUUGCGAAGGCAGUUCACUGGACUGCAACUGACACUGAGGCUCGAAAGUGUGGGUAUCAAACAGGAUUAGAUACCCUGGUAGUC